AUUGAACGCUGGCGGCAUGCUUUACACAUGCAAGUCGAACGGUAACAGGCCUUCGGGUGCUGACGAGUGGCGAACGGGUGAGUAAUGCAUCGGAACGUACCCAGAGGUGGGGGAUAACGCAGCGAAAGCUGUGCUAAUACCGCAUGUGAUCUGAGGAUGAAAGCGGGGGACCGCGCAGCAAUGUUUGGCCUCGCGCCUUUGGAGCGGCCGAUGUCGGAUUAGCUAGUUGGUGGGGUAAAGGCCUACCAAGGCGACGAUCCGUAGCUGGUCUGAGAGGACGACCAGCCACACUGGAACUGAGACACGGCCCAGACUCCUACGGGAGGCAGCAGUAGGGAAUUUUGGGCAAUGGGCGAAAGCCUGAUCCAGCAAUGCCGCGUGCGGGAAGAAGGCCUUCGGGUUGUAAACCGCUUUUGGCAGGAACGAAACGGUGUCCGCUAAUACCGGGCGCUAAUGACGGUACCUGCAGAAUAAGCACCGGCUAACUACGUG
This 492-nucleotide ribosomal RNA is filed under the name uncultured bacterium. RNAcentral's name for it is "partial 16S ribosomal RNA". It matches the Rfam family "Bacterial small subunit ribosomal RNA", at positions 29 to 507 of the family's 1533-position model. The record is from RNAcentral.